RNAcentral lists this ribosomal RNA (390 nucleotides) under uncultured bacterium. Its description in RNAcentral is "bacterial SSU rRNA". It matches the Rfam family "Bacterial small subunit ribosomal RNA", at positions 28 to 420 of the family's 1533-position model. The record is from RNAcentral.
GACGAACGCUGGCGGCGUGCUUAACACAUGCAAGUCGAGCGGUAAGGCCCUUUCGGGGGUACACGAGCGGCGAACGGGUGAGUAACACGUGGGUGACCUGCCCUUAGCUCUGGGAUAAGCCUGGGAAACUGGGUCUAAUACCGGAUAUGACUCCAUGACGCAUGUUGUGGGGUGGAAAGCCUUGUGCGGCUAGGGAUGGGCCCGCGGCCUAUCAGCUUGUUGGUGGGGUGAUGGCCACCAAGGCGACGACGGGUAGCCGGCCUGAGAGGGCGACCGGCCACACUGGGACUGAGACACGGCCCAGAUUCCUACGGGAGGCAGCAGUGGGGAAUCUUGCGCAAUGGGCGAAAGCCUGACGCAGCGACGCCGCGUGAGGGAUGACGGCCUCGG